CCGUUCCAGUGNCCGUAGGGAAAGCCGUUAAGCCCACCGCCUGGGGAGUACGGUCGCAAAGGCUGAAACUUAAAGGAAUUGGCGGGGGAGCACUGCAACGGGAGGAGCGUGCGGUUUAAUUGGAUUCAACGCCGGGAAGCUCACCGGGGGAGACUGCCGUAUGUGGGCCAGGCUGAAGACCUUGCCCGAACAAUAGGCAGAGAGGUGGUGCAUGGCCGCCGUCAGCUCGUACCGUAGGGCGUUCUGUUAAGUCAGGUAACGAGCGAGACCCCCGCCCCUAGUUGCGACUUGUCUCUCCGGAGGCAAGGCACACUAGGGNGACCGCUGGCGCUAAGCCAGAGGAAGGAGGGGGCAACGGUAGGUCAGUAUGCCCUGAAUCCCUCGGGCUACACGCGCGCUACAAAGGCUGGGACAAUGGGUUGCCACCCCGAAAGGGGGAGCUAAUCCCUAAACCCAGUCGUAGUUCGGACCGAGGGCUGCAACUCGCCCUCGUGAAGGUGGAUUCCGUAGUAAUNNNNNCUUNACAAAUGGCGCGUGAAUA
RNAcentral lists this ribosomal RNA (541 nucleotides) under uncultured archaeon. RNAcentral describes it as "bacterial SSU rRNA". It matches the Rfam family "Archaeal small subunit ribosomal RNA", at positions 789 to 1324 of the family's 1478-position model. The record is from RNAcentral.